UCUCCGUUGGUGAACCAGCGGAGGGAUCAUUACCGAGUUUACAACUCCCAAACCCCUGUGAACAUACCAUUUUGUGCCUCCGCUGUGUCUGCUCCGGCAGCGCGACAGGGGACACGAACCCAUGAUUCUUUACAGUAUCUUCUGAGUAAACGAUUAAAUAAAUCAAAACUUUCAGCAACGGAUCUCUUGGUUCUG
RNAcentral lists this unclassified non-coding RNA (195 nucleotides) under plant metagenome. RNAcentral describes it as "partial contains small subunit ribosomal RNA, internal transcribed spacer 1, and 5.8S ribosomal RNA". The record is from RNAcentral.